GCAGUGUGUGACAGCAUGGUGUGAGGUAGUGUGCAGUGUGUGGCAGCAUGGUGUGAGAUAGCGUGCAGUGUGUGACAGCAUGGUGUGAGGUAGUGUGCAGUGUGAGGUAGUGUGCAGUGUGUGACAGCAUGGUGUGAGGUAGUGUGCAGUGUGUGACAGAAUGGUGUGAGGUAGUGUGCAGUGUGAGGUAGUGUGCACUGUGUGACAGAAUGGUGUGAGGUAGUGUGCACUGUGUGACAGAAUGGUGUGAGGUAGUGUGCAGUGUGAGGUAGUGUCCAAUGUGUGACAGCAUGGUGUGAGGUAGCAUGCAGUGUGUGGCAGCAUGGUGUGAGAUAGCGUGCAGUGUGUGACAGCAUGGUGUGAGGUAGUGUGCAGUGUGAGGUAGUGUGCACUGUGUGACAGAAUGGUGUGAGGUAGCGUGCAGUGUGUGGCAGCAUGGUGUGAGAUAGCGUGCAGUGUGUGACAGCAUGGUGUGAGGUAGUGUGCAGUGUGAGGUAGUGUGCACUGUGUGACAGCAUGGUGUGAGGUAGUGUGCAGUGUGUGACAGAAUGGUGUGAGGUAGUGUGCAGUGUGAGGUAGUGUGCACUGUGUGACAGAAUGGUGUGAGGUAGUGUGCAGUGUGUGACAGCAUGGUGUGAGGUAGUGUGCAGUGUGUGACAGAAUGGUGUGAGGUAGUGUGCAGUGUGUGACAGAAUGGUGUGAGGUAGUGUGCAGUGUGUGGCAGCAUGGUGUGAGGUAGUGUUUACUCACCCCCAGAAUCUGCUAACUUCAGGUUCCAAUGUUUUUCAUAUGUAAAU
Molecule: non-coding RNA, 797 nt
Organism: Pelobates cultripes (western spadefoot toad)
Lineage: Eukaryota; Metazoa; Chordata; Amphibia; Anura; Pelobatidae
Source: the annotation of a GenBank genome assembly